GUCAGCAGACAUAGUAUCUGCAGCUCAGACAAGGUUAUUGAUCUGAAACUAAGCAGGUUUUGACCUGGCCAGUACUUGGAUGGGAGACCAACUAGGAAAGCUGGGUUCCUGCUGGAU
This 117-nucleotide ribosomal RNA is filed under the name Paramormyrops kingsleyae. Lineage: Eukaryota; Metazoa; Chordata; Actinopteri; Osteoglossiformes; Mormyridae. The record is from RNAcentral.